GGCGAGGUAGCUCAGGUGGUUAGAGCACAGGAUUCAUAACCCUGAGGUCGGGAGUUCAAGUCUCCUCCUCGCUA
RNAcentral lists this transfer RNA (74 nucleotides) under Bacteroidota bacterium. Its description in RNAcentral is "tRNA-Met". It matches the Rfam family "tRNA". From Rfam's summary of the family: Transfer RNA (tRNA) molecules are approximately 80 nucleotides in length. Their secondary structure includes four short double-helical elements and three loops (D, anti-codon, and T loops). RNAcentral also lists the same sequence under 1 other name. Lineage: Bacteria; Pseudomonadati; Bacteroidota. The record is from RNAcentral.